UAGCUAGUUGGUGAGGUAACGGCUUACCAAGGCGACGAUCUGUAGCGGGUCUGAGAGGAUGAUCCGCCACACUGGAACUGAGACACGGUCCAGACUCCUACGGGAGGCAGCAGUGGGGAAUUUUGGACAAUGGGGGCAACCCUGAUCCAGCCAUGCCGCGUGAGUGAAGAAGGCCUUCGGGUUGUAAAGCUCUUUCGGCCGGGAAGAAAUCGCAUGGGCCAAUACCCUGUGUGGAUGACGGUACCGGAAUAAGAAGCACCGGCUAACUACGUGCCAGCAGCCGCGGUAAUACGUAGGGUGCGAGCGUUAAUCGGAAUUACUGGGCGUAAAGCGUGCGCAGGCGGUUUUGUAAGACAGGCGUGAAAUCCCCGGGCUCAACCUGGGAACUGCGUUUGUGACUGCAAGGCUAGAGUACGGCAGAGGGGGGUGGAAUUCCACGUGUAGCAGUGAAAUGCGUAGAGAUGUGGAGGAACACCAAUGGCGAAGGCAGCCCCCUGGGUCGAUACUGACGCUCAUGCACGAAAGCGUGGGUAGCAAACAGGAUUAGAUACCCUGGUAGUCCACGCCCUAAACUAUGUCAACUAGGUGUUGGGUGGGUAAAACCAUUUAGUACCGUAGCUAACGCGUGAAGUUGACCGCCUGGGGAGUACGGCCGCAAGGUUAAAACUCAAAGGAAUUGACGGGGACCCGCACAAGCGGUGGAUGAUGUGGAUUAAUUCGAUGCAACGCGAAAAACCUUACCUACCCUUGACAUGCCAGGAACUUGCCAGAGAUGGCUUGGUGCCCGAAAGGGAGCCUGGACACAGGUGCUGCAUGGCUGUCGUCAGCUCGUGUCGUGAGAUGUUGGGUUAAGUCCCGCAACGAGCGCAACCCUUGUCGUUAAUUGCCAUCAUUUAGUUGGGCACUUUAGCGAGACUGCCGGUGACAGACCGGAGGAAGGUGGGGAUGACGUCAAGUCCUCAUGGCCCUUAUGGGUAGGGCUUCACACGUCAUACAAUGGUCGGUACAGAGGGUCGCCAAGCCGCGAGGUGGAGCCAAUCCCAGAAAGCCGAUCGUAGUCCGGAUUGCAGGCUGCAACUCGCCUGCAUGAAGUCGGAAUCGCUAGUAAUCGUGGAUCAGCAUGUCACGGUGAAUACGUUCCCGGGUCUUGUACACACCGCCCGUCACACCAUGGGAGCGGGUUCCGCCGGAAGUAGGUAGCCUAACCGCAAGGAGGGCGCUUACCACGGCGGGGUUCGUGACUGGGGUGAAGUCGUAACAAGGUAGCCGUAGGGGAUCCUGCGGCUG
RNAcentral lists this ribosomal RNA (1287 nucleotides) under metagenome. RNAcentral describes it as "bacterial SSU rRNA". It matches the Rfam family "Bacterial small subunit ribosomal RNA", at positions 242 to 1520 of the family's 1533-position model. The record is from RNAcentral.